Molecule: non-coding RNA, 770 nt
Organism: Paramuricea clavata
Lineage: Eukaryota; Metazoa; Cnidaria; Anthozoa; Malacalcyonacea; Plexauridae
Source: the annotation of a GenBank genome assembly
AUUUUGCUCAAACCUCAAAAGUUUUCAUAUAUUAAAAUCCGUGUUAAUCUGCUUUGGAAGAAAGGGAUUUUAAAGACUAUCAAUACAACAUUAUAUAGUAAAGUCAAGCUUUCAAGAAAUGGACGUUCCACAAUAAAAUAACUGAACAUUGCAACGAACCACGGGAUUUUGAAAUGGCAAUACAGUAUCUGCAAGAAGCCGCCAUUAUAAAACUGUUCACAUAUGAUUGUUGAUAUUUACAUAAUUUACUGGAGAAUUUGAAUGCGUAUAUUGUCCUACGUUUUCCAAUGAGUCGACAAGUGUUUCAUUCGCAAACUAAAGCCUAUCAGAAGCUUCACAUACAGUAUGAAGAUUUAUACAACAGCGAUAAAAUAUCAAGCGUUUCUUACCUUUUAAAAUUUGAAGACAGGACGGUUCCACAUUUACUGGCAGUUCGUCCUUUUGUCUGUGAAAUACAACUCCAUUCGCAGUGGAAAUAUUGUUUGGUUAUGCAAUUGAAGAGCUCUAAAGGUUUUAGAAUUAGGUUCUUUUGUUGGGUACUUGCAAUGCUACAAAAAACUGAAGGUACUACCUUAUUUAUACUAUAAAAUAUGGGCCAUGCUAUUUAAUAUUCAGCCCCCACCCCCUAUGGACGAGUUUUCCUGAAGGGUAACCUCGACGUUGUUUCUGAGGGGUUAAGCCAAUUUGGCAUCCUUUGAUUUAUGCGAUUUUUCUGAGGGGGUUUUGUGUCGGCACUAAUUUGAUCUUGUUUUCUUGGGGGUUAAAAUUUU